UGAAUUACAUAAGGAAUUUUUUUACAUUUUCAUUUUAUUAUAUUUCGUGCAGCUAAAAAUAUUUAGUAGUAUUAAAUAUGUUAUUAGUGUAACAAUUAAUAAUAAUCCACGGAUGCUAAGUUGCUAACGCUACUAACAAGACGGCGGCGGGGUGGGGAACGCGGAGAGGAAGAUUCUUGACUCAGGUCCCGAGUUAACUUGACCGGGUUGUUUGUCAUACGGCCGCUUUCAAUAAUCUAUCUAUCCUUAGUUUAACUUACUAGAGGUAGACAAAUCUAUCCUUUUACGCUUACGUAUAUUUCAAUAGCCUAUCGACAGAUAGCAUUGGACUAUAAUAUGGAUAUAUAAGAUCUUGUCAUUAAACGGUGUUAGCAAUAUAUCCGUAGCUAGAGAUAUGUUAUUGAAAACGGCCGUAUUACUAUAUUGGAUAUAACUAUGGAUAGAUAAGAUUUUGUUAUUAAACGGUGAUUGCAAAUCCGUAUCUAGAGGUACGUUAUUGAAAACGGCCGUAAAUUGAUUGGCUUGUAUUUUUGUGGUCAUGCAAUAGUAACACAACAUUUAUAAUUGUUUAUUAAUUAUUAUUGUUGGGAAUCAGAUUAGAAAGUACAAAUGUAUUUAAGUUUAGUAUUGAUUUUCAAUUAAAUUAUGAGACUAAUCAAUAACUGUAAACAUUGUUUCAUAAAUUAUAAUUAUGUACAUGUAUUAUGCCUUUCUACCUAUGAUUAUCAAUAACAGUAUAAUCAGAGAUUUUUUUUAUGUUAUAAUAUAUAAUUUGUUCAUUUAAUUUAUAAAUACAAUAUUUUGGUAGUUAGGUAGAUACUUAGAGUAAGGAUUGGUCUCCGCUGCGCUCCAACUAAUACUACGCCCAAGUGGGCGUACUCGAGCCAGUCUCCAUCAAUGUGUGACGUUGACGUGCCACCUGGUCAGUUAAACUUUGCUAAUAAUUGUAACUAAAAUGCCGGGUUGUGUAGUAAAACUUUGUAAAAAUAAUACUACAAAAGAUAAGUAAGACACAAGGAUCACAUAAUAUCAUCAGUAAGUAUUUUGUAUUUUAUUAAUUACAAUGUAAAAAUAUAAAACGAAGUGUAUGUUACAAAAUUUUGAAGAUACCAUUGAGUGUGUCGAGAUAUCACGAACACAAGCAUCUAAUAGUUGCUUUAAUAAAAAAGCUAUAGUUUUUAGGUAGUGCGGUAUCUAUUUGGAGCCUAGGGGAGACCAAUCCUUAAUCUAAGUGUAGGUAUGAUAUUUACUCUUUUUAUUUGUAUGUAUUUCGUAUAGUAAAUAUAAUAUUUUAUUAUUUGAAUCGGAUAUGAUAUUGGUUUUUUCUCCAUAUUAUUAAUAACUGAUUUCUUAGUAAAAUGCCUUAUUGUGGACUUUAUUUGUAAAUAUAAUGUUAUCAUUAUUUAAAAGUCUACGAUUACAAAGUAGAUAAUUUAUACGUCUAGAUACAGCCUCUUGCUGGUAAACAACCGAUGAAAACAGGCCAGGUUUACUACUUUAGUGUGCGUGACAUGCCACGUCUUACACUCGCGAUUUUUGUCACUUUAUGUUAGUGUGCAUUGCUCAAGAUAGAGGUUAACUGUCAAUUUCUUUCGACAGUUCUCGCAACUGUCAGUAUCUAGACGUUUAACCUAAGUUUGUAAGUAUGUAGUUACAGUGUCACCAACUUAUCUGUGAACUGAUGGGUGUCGCCAUCGUCUUUUAGUGUUGCUAAUUAAUUCCAAUGUGCACAAAAGUCGGGGCAUAUUUAACACUUAAAUUUCUGAAGUAUCGCAAUAAAACACACGGAACACUCGAAAGUAGUAGACACUGACAGUCGAAUGACAUUUCAACGUGGCGACCGUAGUUCCUAUUUUUGGCACUUCAGAGAUAAGUUGGUAUUUCUAUACACAGUGUCUGUACUUUUACCCAGCAAAUUGUUUAUAAUUAGUUUUAUGCUGUUAGCUGUCCGUAAUGAUUAUCUUAUUAUUAUUUUAUAGUUUAAGAGGAAUUUACAGUUCCGACUUAAUGUAAAAACUAAACAAAUGUGAAAUAUUUUAAUAAUAAUAAAAGUAAGUUUAUACUUU
This is a long non-coding RNA of Leptidea sinapis, 2066 nucleotides long. RefSeq lists it as uncharacterized. Lineage: Eukaryota; Metazoa; Arthropoda; Insecta; Lepidoptera; Pieridae. The record is from RefSeq and is a predicted model, not a curated record. The transcript has 2 exons.